Long non-coding RNA from Leopardus geoffroyi (Geoffroy's cat), 1683 nucleotides. RefSeq lists it as uncharacterized. Lineage: Eukaryota; Metazoa; Chordata; Mammalia; Carnivora; Felidae. The transcript has 2 exons. The record is from RefSeq and is a predicted model, not a curated record.
GAUGGCCGUCCCCUCCACUGUGGUUCCAGGGCCAUCCUAACAUUCCAACCUCUUAUUGGUGAUACUGGGCAACGGAUCUGAUCUGGCUGCUUCCUGCGGGUGUAAGGGCGAUGUUAUGGUAUGUGGGGUGUGAGGUUGGAAUGCGGAAAUAUGGCCGGACCACCAUCUGGUGAAAUGCACCUGGGAAACUUCAUGAAUUCGUUUCUGUACGAAACGGAGAAAACAAGGUAAUAGCCCAGGGAGAGGGGCUUCUGGAUUCUUCCAGAGAACAGGUGGACAUCCUCUCCCUGGAGCGCCAAUAGCCGGCAGCCCAGUCGACCUUUCUGUACCCGAGAAGGGAUCUGUCAGAGCUGGCCUGGGGACGCAGAGCCGUAGCUGUGUCCCUGCUCGGAAGCGUCAGGCAGUUAUGACAUCCCUGCCAGUCCAGACUCACACUGCGUUGCUGGCAUUGCACCCAGGAGGCCCUGAGACGGGCAGGGUCCACAGCUACUGUGCGGCCACGGCUGUGCCAGCAGGAGCAGGGAGGGUGCCAGGGGACGCGCCAGAGCCAGUCACGGCGUCCUGCCACAGAUUCAGGCCCAGCGCUGUUACAGUGGGGGUAACGAGGAACGUAGAGAAGACUCCAUAGUAGGCGGUUAAGUAAAGGGUGAAAAUAAAGGAGCCUUCCCUCCUUUAAACAAGCCCCUUUCAAGUCUCAACACAAGAGUUGAGCAGAGGAGUGUGUGAAGAAAGUGUGGUGUGCCCAUCCAUACAAGCGGGGUACCGUCGGCUUCUAAAGACCAGAGAUUCUGCAGCGUGCGACCACACAGAGGGAUUCUGUGCGAUAAGCCAGAUACAGAAGGACGGAUACCGCAUGGUUCUUCUUACGGUCAAAUUCGUAAAAUCAAAGACUGGAGUGGCGGUCAGCAGGGGCUGGGGAGGGGAAGUGGGGAGUUGCUAAUCAAGAGGCAAAAAGUUUCAAUUAAGUAAGAUGAAAAAGCUGUAGAGAUCUGCUAUGUGCUAUUGUGCCUAUAGUCAGUGAUAAUGUAUUAUGCUCUGAAAAUUUGUUAAGAGGGUAGAUCUGAUAUUACGUGUUCUCACUACAGUUAGAUUUUCUUUUUAAAAGGAGCUGGGGUGGGGGAGCACAUAUCUCAUGACCCGUGUUAUGGGCUGAAUUGUCACCCCCCCCCCCCGCCGCCCCCUAUAAAAUUCAUGUUGAAAUCCUAACCCCUCAUAGCUCAAAAUGUGGGUGUGUUUGGAGACAGCGUCUGAAGGAGCCUGGGACACACUCCUCAAAAUGUGCGGCUGUGGCACGUGAUUAUUUGAACAGAAGGCACUUAAAAGACAGCAGGUGCGGGGAGAGGCUUCCUCUGAGCUCCCCUCAGGUGCCUGAACACACAUCCUUCAGAAGGACCUCGGGGUCCUCGGUCCCCUCCCUGGGAGCUCCUGUCACAGAAGAGGAACUGAGAAGUGGGUCCCACACCCAGAAGACUGUCACCCUCCUGUCUGUCCCUCUGAGGACCCAGCCAUCCCCCCUAACCCGUUCACUCCCCCUGAAAUGCCUGCACCCCUUUCCUCCUGUACCUGGAUGGCGUGUGAGCUCUCAGACCCCACUGCCCUUUGGGGUAUUUACCUUAUGUCCUGGGAUGCCCCCGUGCACAUAAUAGUAAAACUUAAUAAAUGUGUAUACCUUUCUGCUGUUAA